This 468-nucleotide ribosomal RNA is filed under the name uncultured bacterium. Its description in RNAcentral is "partial 16S ribosomal RNA". It matches the Rfam family "Bacterial small subunit ribosomal RNA", at positions 28 to 507 of the family's 1533-position model. The record is from RNAcentral.
GACGAACGCUGGCGGCGUGCUUAACACAUGCAAGUCGAACGGAAAGGCCCUGCUUUUGUGGGGUGCUCGAGUGGCGAACGGGUGAGUAACACGUGAGUAACCUGCCCUUGACUUUGGGAUAACUUCAGGAAACUGGGGCUAAUACCGGAUAGGAGCUCCUGCUGCAUGGUGGGGGUUGGAAAGUUUCGGCGGUUGGGGAUAGACUCGCGGCUUAUCAGCUUGUUGGUGGGGUAGUGGCUUACCAGGGGUUUGACGGGUAGCCGGCCUGAGAGGGUGACCGGCCACAUGGGGACUGAGAUACGGCCCAGACUCCUACGGGAGGCAGCAGUGGGGAGUAUUGCGCAAUGGGCGGAAGCCUGAUGCAGCAACGCCGCGUGCGGGAUGACGGCCUUCGGGUUGUAAACCGCUUUCGCCUGUGACGAAGCGUGAGUGACGGUAAUGGGUAAAGAAGCACCGGCUAACUACGUG